GGUACAACCACAAAGAACUUCGGUUAAGACUGUGGAAUUAUUAACAUCGUUAAUAAUUACGUAGUUCCGGUUCUAAAGAAUGCCGGGCUGAUCUGAGGAUCAAAUCAGAUACUCGCCCAUUUCAACUUUGGCCGUGGACGAGGCGAAAGCGGUGUAGUUUGUGUCUAAAUCGCGAGUUUGAAACCGGAAGAGUGAAUUAGGUUAUUCAAAUAAUUGUAACUAGAAAUACCCUCCAGUGCAUCCGUCAAACGAUAAAUAGGAGGAAGAGCCGUUUUCGACACCACGUCCAUCGUUGGAAUCCAGCCCCGAACGCUAUUGAAGGUGGCCGCGCAUCCCAUUCGUAAGCGCUACAACACUCGCGGAAAAGGAAAACCAGCCGCGGCUCGAAUACCAGAGUUCAUCGGCGGAUUCAUCGCCCACGUCUCCCAUGCACGCAAGAGCCGCCGGCUAUUCACGUAAUGCCUAGGUUGUGAGUACUCUUUUCGUUUCUUUCUAACACAUGCGCAUGUAGAGAAAUAAAUUUGAAAAGCCACACACGUAUUAACAA
This is a long non-coding RNA of Toxorhynchites rutilus septentrionalis, 547 nucleotides long. RefSeq lists it as uncharacterized. The transcript is spliced from 3 exons. The record is from RefSeq and is a predicted model, not a curated record. NCBI's taxonomy places the organism in Eukaryota, Metazoa, Arthropoda, Insecta, Diptera, Culicidae.